This is a transfer RNA of Ipomoea nil (Japanese morning glory), 73 nucleotides long. It matches the Rfam family "tRNA". Rfam says of the family: Transfer RNA (tRNA) molecules are approximately 80 nucleotides in length. Their secondary structure includes four short double-helical elements and three loops (D, anti-codon, and T loops). NCBI's taxonomy places the organism in Eukaryota, Viridiplantae, Streptophyta, Magnoliopsida, Solanales, Convolvulaceae. The record is from Rfam.
GCUUGUCUAGCUCAGUUAGUAGAGCGCAAGGCUCUUAACCUUGUGGUCGUGGGUUCGAGCCCCACGUUGGGCA